This 1974-nucleotide ribosomal RNA is filed under the name human metagenome. RNAcentral's name for it is "bacterial LSU rRNA". It matches the Rfam family "Bacterial large subunit ribosomal RNA", at positions 1 to 1977 of the family's 2925-position model. The record is from RNAcentral.
GAAAGUAAUUAAGGGCGUAUGGCGGAUGCCUAGGCUCACGGAGGCGAUGAAGGACGUGAUAAGCUGCGAUAAGCCUCGGGUAGAUGCAAAUAAUCUUUGAUCCGAGGAUUUCCGAAUGGGACAACCUGACUGUCUGAAGGAUAGUCACCCAUAUUUAAUUAUGGGAGCAAACGCAGGGAACUGAAACAUCUUAGUACCUGUAGGAAAAGAAAAUAAUUUAAUGAUUCCCCUAGUAGUGGCGAGCGAACGGGGAAAAGCCCAAACCUAUGACGUAGUAAUGCGUGAUAGGGGUAGUAGGGUCACGAUAUCGUACUUUGAAAGUGAGGAGAAUGUUCUGGAAAGUUCAAUAAUAUAAGGUGAUAAUCCUGUAUCCGAAGCUUGAUGAGGCGUAGUGAAUCCCUGAGUAGUGCGGAGCACGAGUAAUUCUGCAUGAAUCUGCCGGGACCAUCCGGUAAGGCUAAAUACUCCCGUGAGACCGAUAGUGAAUUAGUACCGUGAGGGAAAGGUGAAAAGCACUCCCAUGAGGAGAGUGAAAUAGUUCCUGAAACCAUACGCCUACAAGCGGUCGGAGCAUAUAUAUAUGUGACGGCGUGCCUUUUGCAUAAUGAACCUACGAGUUACCAUGUCCAGCGAGGUUAAGGGGUUGAGCCCCGUAUCCGUAGUGAAAGCGAGCCUAAAUAGGGCGUAUAGUUGGAUGGGGUAGACGCGAAACCAAGUGAUCUACACUUGACCAGGUUGAAGUUCUGGUAACACAGAAUGGAGGACCGCACGGAUAAGCGUUGAAAAGCUUCCCGAUGAGUUGAGUGUAGGAGUGAAAGGCCAAUCAAACUUGGAGAUAGCUCGUACUCCCCGAAAGGCAUUUAGGUGCCGCGUGCAUCGAUCUCCAUAAGAGGUAGAGCGACCGAUAGGUCAAGAGGGCUUCACCGCCUAUCGAGACCUGACGAACUCCGAAUGCUUAUGGACUGCAGUCGUGCAGUAAGGGGGCGGGUGCUAAGGUCCGUCCCCGAGAGGAGAAGAAUCCAGACCGUCGUCUAAGGUCCCGGAAUUCUGCCUGAGUUAGUCUAACGAAGUCUGGUCCCCGUGACAGCUAGGAUGUUGGCUUGGAAGCAGCCAUUCAUUCAAAGAGUGCGUAACAGCUCACUAGUCGAGGGUCCGGGCAUGGAUAAUAAUCGGGUAUAAGUCAGAUACCGAAGUCGCGGGAUAGCAUUGUAUAUAAAAAGUAUCGGUAGGGGAGCAUUCUAUAUGCGUUGAAUGGUGAUAUUGAUUGAUCCUGGAGCGUAUAGAAACGCAAAUGUAGGUAUAAGUAACGAUAAAGGGGGUAAGAUUCCCCCUCGCCGUAAGACUAAGGUUUCCCAGGCGAUGUCAAUCAGCCUGGGGUUAGUCGGGUCCUAAGUCUCAGCCGAAUGGCGAAGGCGAUGGCUUCACGGUUAAUAUUCCGUGACUUGCUCAUUCAGCGAUGUGGAGACGGAGCAGUGACACUGUCGCGCCCUUACGGAUAUGGGCGUUAAAGAAGUUAGGUGUAGAUAGAUGUAGGCAAAUCCGCAUUUAGAGCUGAUCUUCGAUAGUACAGAGUUUUCUUCGGAGAGCUUUGAUAGUACAGGUAAUCAUACUUCCAAGAAAAUCCGCUAAGCUUAAUGUUUGAGCAACCCGUACCGUAAUCGGACACACGUAGUCGGGUAGAACAUACUAAGGCGUUGAGAGAUUCAUGGUUAAGGAACUAGGCAAAUUGACCCCGUAACUUCGGGAUAAGGGGUCCUCAUAGCAAUAUGAGGCGCAGAGAAUAGGUCCAGGCAACUGUUUAACAAAAACACAGGGCUGUGCUAACUCGAAAGAUGAUGUAUACAGCCUGACACCUGCCCGGUGCUGGAAGGUUAAGAGGAGAGCUUAGAUGUAUGUCGACGGUUUGAAUUGAAGCCCCAGUAAACGGCGGCCGUAACUAUAACGGUCCUAAGGUAGCGAAAUUCCUUGUCGGGU